RNAcentral lists this ribosomal RNA (490 nucleotides) under uncultured bacterium. RNAcentral's name for it is "partial 16S ribosomal RNA". It matches the Rfam family "Bacterial small subunit ribosomal RNA", at positions 30 to 507 of the family's 1533-position model. The record is from RNAcentral.
AUUGAACGCUGGCGGCAGGCCUAACACAUGCAAGUCGAACGGUAACAGGAAACAGCUUGCUGUUUCGCUGACGAGUGGCGGGCGGGUGAGUCAUGUCUGGGACACUGCCUGAUGGAUGGGGAUAACUCCUGGAAACGGUAGCUAAUACCGCAUAACGUCUCAAGCCCAAAGAGGGGGACCUUCAGGCCUCUUUCCAUCGGAUGUGCCCAGAUUGGAUUAGCUAGUAGGUGGGGUAACGGCUCACCUAGGCGACGAUCCGUAGCUGGUCUGAGAGGAUGACCAGCCACACUGGAACUGAGACACGGUCCAGACUCCUACGGGAGGCAGCAGUGGGGAAUAUUGCACAAUGGGCGCAAGCCUGAUGCAGCCACGCCGCGUGUAUGAAGAAGGCCUUCGGGUUGUAAAGUACUUUUAGCGGGGAGGAAGGGAGUAAAGUUAAUACCUGCGCUCAUUGACGGUACCUGAAGAAGAAGCACCGGCUAACUCCGUG